This 253-nucleotide ribosomal RNA is filed under the name uncultured bacterium. RNAcentral's name for it is "partial 16S ribosomal RNA". It matches the Rfam family "Bacterial small subunit ribosomal RNA", at positions 524 to 776 of the family's 1533-position model. The record is from RNAcentral.
UACGGGGGGAGCAAGCGUUGUUCGGAUUUACUGGGCGUAAAGGGCGCGUAGGCGGCGCCGCAAGUCAGUUGUGAAAUCUCCGGGCUUAACCCGGAGCGGCCAGGUGAUACUGUCGUGCUGGAGUGCGGAAGGGGCUAGUGGAAUUCUCGGUGUAGCGGUGAAAUGCGUAGAUAUCGAGAGGAACACCUGCGGCGAAGGCGGGUAGCUGGGCCGACACUGACGCUGAGGCGCGAAAGCGAGGGGAGCGAACGGG